This 492-nucleotide ribosomal RNA is filed under the name uncultured bacterium. RNAcentral's name for it is "partial 16S ribosomal RNA". It matches the Rfam family "Bacterial small subunit ribosomal RNA", at positions 29 to 507 of the family's 1533-position model. The record is from RNAcentral.
AGUGAACGCUGGCGGUAGGCCUAACACAUGCAAGUCGAACGGCAGCACAGUAAGAGCUUGCUCUUACGGGUUGCGAGUGGCGGACGUGUCAGGAAUACAUCGUAAUCUACUUUUUCGGGUGGGUUAACGUAGGUAAACUUACUCUAAUACCGCAUACGACCUACGGGUGAAAGCAGUGGAUCUUUUGACCUUUCGCGAUUGAAUGAGCCGCUGUGGGAGUAGCUAGUUGGCGGGUUAAAGGCCCACUAAGUCGACGAUCCGUAGCUGGUCUGAGUGGAUGGUCAGCGACACUAGAGCUGAGACACGGACAAGAGUACUACGGGAGGCAGCAGUGGGGAACAUUGGACAAUGGGGGGAAGUAUGGUCCAGCCGUCGCGAGCGGGUGAAGAAGGCCCUCGGGGUGUAAAGCCCUUUUGUUGGGGAAGAAAAGCAGCAGGUUAAUACGAAGCUGUUCUGACGGUACCCAAUGAAUAAGCACCGGCUAACUUCGUG